GACGAACGCUGGCGGCGGGCUUAACACAUGCAAGUCGAACGGAAAGGCCCUGCUGGUGUGGGGUGCUCGGGUGGCGAACGUGAGAGUAACACGAGAUUAACCUGCCCUGGGGUUUGGGAUAACUUCAGGGGACUAGUGCUCCUACCUGAUAUUAGCUCCUGCUGCAUGGUGGUGGUUGGUGCGUUUGGGCGGGUGGGGAUGGACUCGCGGCAUAUCAGCGGAUUGGUGAGGUAGUGGCUUACCAAGGCUUUGACGGGUAGCCGGCCGGAGCGGGUGCCAGGACACGUUGCGACUGAGAUACGGCGCAGACUGCUACGGGAGGCAGCAGAGGGGAAUAUUGCACAACGGGCCGAAGCCUGAGGCAGAAAAGCCGCGUGCGGGAUGAAGGCUUUUGGGUUGUAAGCAGCUUUCGCCUGUGAUGAACGGUGAGUGCCGGUACUGGGUAAAGAAGCACCGGCUAACUACGUG
RNAcentral lists this ribosomal RNA (468 nucleotides) under uncultured bacterium. RNAcentral describes it as "partial 16S ribosomal RNA". It matches the Rfam family "Bacterial small subunit ribosomal RNA", at positions 28 to 507 of the family's 1533-position model. The record is from RNAcentral.